UACGUAGGGUGCGAGCGUUAAUCGGAAUUACUGGGCGUAAAGGGUGCGCAGGCGGUUUUGUAAGUCAGAUGUGAAAUUCCCGGGCUUAACCUGGGAACUGCGUUUGAAAAUACAAGAAUAGAGUGUAGCAGAGGGGGGUGGAAUUCCACGUGUAGCAGUGAAAUGCGUAGAGAUGUGGAGGAACACCAAUGGCGAAGGCAGCCCCCUGGGUUAACACUGACGCUCAGGCACGAAAGCGUGGGGAGCAAACAGGAUUAGAUACCCUGGUAGUCCACGCCCUAAACUAUGUCAACUAGUUGUCGGGCCUUAACGGGUUUGGUAACCUAGCUAACGCAUGAAGUUGACCGCCUGGGUAGUACGGUCGCAAGAUUA
This 372-nucleotide ribosomal RNA is filed under the name uncultured prokaryote. RNAcentral's name for it is "bacterial SSU rRNA". It matches the Rfam family "Bacterial small subunit ribosomal RNA", at positions 524 to 896 of the family's 1533-position model. The record is from RNAcentral.